UACGGAGGGUGCAAGCGUUAUCCGGAUUCACUGGGUUUAAAGGGAGCGCAGGCGGGCUUGUAAGUCAGUGGUGAAAUACCCGUGCUUAACAUGGGAACUGCCAUUGAUACUAUAGGUCUUGAAUAUCGUUGAGGUUUGCGGAAUGGGUCAUGUAGCGGUGAAAUGCAUAGAUAUGACCCGGAACACCUAUUGCGAAGGCAGCAGGCUAAGCGAAGAUUGACGCUGAGGCUCGAAAGCCAGGGGAGCAAACGGG
Molecule: ribosomal RNA, 253 nt
Filed under: uncultured bacterium
Lineage: Bacteria
Description: partial 16S ribosomal RNA
Rfam family: Bacterial small subunit ribosomal RNA
Source: RNAcentral